AGCUUUAUGCAAACAUAACAGGAUCACCUUUCUUAUAGGACUAGAGGUCAUCAAAUUAGACUGAUAAAAUGUACUAAUUAGCAUAAUAAACACAAUGACAAUGUUGCCUUAGGUCAAUACUGUGAGUAAUAAUAUUAAUGAAAAAUGAUUUCUUAUCUUAAAUCUACGAAUAUCAAUGUCUUCUUACCUCAUACACAUUCGGGUGCCAAACUUUUGUAAGAAAUCUAAUUGAUGGCGGAGAGUAUGGAUAAUCUAGAGGGAACUUCAUUCUUGCCUACAAAACAAAACCAUAAAAAAUCCCUGCACCCAAGUCAUUGAUUUAUGAGCUUUUAACCAGGAAAAAGAAAUAACAUGGAGUGCUUUCCAAGAAAAUAACGCGCUCUGAUUGGAGGUCACCCGGACCCGUGUUCGCCCUCUCUGUUGCACUAGAAAAAAAUCAAUGACAAAAUCAGCUGGAAGCCUUCUCUGUCCUUGUUAGCAACACGUCAAUAUUGGGCAACGUUGUCGGCACCGUUUAUAAAUAAAUGUUUAUUUUUGUUUGAA
Molecule: long non-coding RNA, 543 nt
Organism: Anthonomus grandis grandis
Lineage: Eukaryota; Metazoa; Arthropoda; Insecta; Coleoptera; Curculionidae
Exons: 2
Source: RefSeq, a predicted model, not a curated record